Molecule: ribosomal RNA, 37 nt
Filed under: Limonium tenuicaule
Lineage: Eukaryota; Viridiplantae; Streptophyta; Magnoliopsida; Caryophyllales; Plumbaginaceae
Description: partial 18S ribosomal RNA
Source: RNAcentral
CAAGGUUUCCGUAGGUGAACAUGCGGAAGGAUMAUUG